RNAcentral lists this ribosomal RNA (492 nucleotides) under uncultured bacterium. Its description in RNAcentral is "partial 16S ribosomal RNA". It matches the Rfam family "Bacterial small subunit ribosomal RNA", at positions 29 to 507 of the family's 1533-position model. The record is from RNAcentral.
AGUGAACGCUGGCGGUAGGCCUAACACAUGCAAGUCGAACGGCAGCACAGUAAGAGCUUGCUCUUACGGGUGGCGAGUGGCGGACGGGUGAGGAAUACAUCGGAAUCUGCUUUUUCGUGGGGGAUAACGUAGGGAAACUUACGCUAAUACCGCAUACGACCUACGGGUGAAAGCAGGGGAUCUUCGGACCUUGCGCGAUUGAAUGAGCCGAUGUCGGAUUAGCUAGUUGGCGGGGUAAAGGCCCACCAAGGCGACGAUCCGUAGCUGGUCUGAGAGGAUGAUCAGCCACACUGGAACUAAGACACGGUCCAGACUCCUACGGGAGGCAGCAAUGGGGAAUAUUGGACAAUGGGCGCAAGCCUGAUCCAGCCAUACCGCGUGGGUGAAGAAGGCCUUCGGGUUGUAAAGCCCUUUUGUUGGGAAAGAAAAGCAGCAGGUUAAUACCCCGCUGUUCUGACGGUACCCAAAGAAUAAGCACCGGCUAACUUCGUG